RNAcentral lists this long non-coding RNA (216 nucleotides) under Prunus dulcis (almond). Its description in RNAcentral is "sRNA ncRNA". The record is from RNAcentral. Lineage: Eukaryota; Viridiplantae; Streptophyta; Magnoliopsida; Rosales; Rosaceae.
GAAGCAUUUGAGAAUCUAUAUGGUGUUAAUAUGGGGAUGAAUGGAUGGUGUUCAUCGAAGGCAAAAGAUAGUCCCUCUCUGUCCCAUAAUUUUUCACCCUCUUCAGCUGAUCGACUUAUAAAUUUCUAUAGAAAUCUUCUUUUCAGACAAACUUCAAGAAGAUCUAUAGUAAAAAUGCUUGCAUCAAUGAAAUUCUUGCAAAAUGUAAACAUAUAG